This 159-nucleotide ribosomal RNA is filed under the name Cyanoptyche gloeocystis. Its description in RNAcentral is "5.8S ribosomal RNA". It matches the Rfam family "5.8S ribosomal RNA". Rfam says of the family: 5.8S ribosomal RNA (5.8S rRNA) is a component of the large subunit of the eukaryotic ribosome. It is transcribed by RNA polymerase I as part of the 45S precursor that also contains 18S and 28S rRNA. Lineage: Eukaryota; Glaucocystophyceae. The record is from RNAcentral.
ACACUUUUGACAAUGGAUAUCUUGGCUCCUACAACGAUGAAGAACACAGCGAAAUGUGAUACGUAGUGUGAAUUGCAGAACUCAGUGAACCAUCGAGUUUUUGAACGCAUAUUGCGCUCCCAGGUCCUCCUGGGAGCAUGCCUGUUCGAGUAUCAUUCU